This 663-nucleotide ribosomal RNA is filed under the name uncultured Dolichospermum sp. RNAcentral's name for it is "bacterial SSU rRNA". It matches the Rfam family "Bacterial small subunit ribosomal RNA", at positions 99 to 795 of the family's 1533-position model. The record is from RNAcentral. Lineage: Bacteria; Bacillati; Cyanobacteriota; Cyanophyceae; Nostocales; Aphanizomenonaceae.
CGGACGGGUGAGUAACGCGUGAGAAUUUACCUUCAGGUUGGGGACAACCACUGGAAACGGUGGCUAAUACCGAAUGUGCCGAGAGGUGAAAGGCUUGCUGCCUGAAGAAGAGCUUGCGUCUGAUUAGCUAGUUGGUGGGGUAAGAGCCUACCAAGGCGACGAUCAGUAGCUGGUCUGAGAGGAUGAUCAGCCACACUGGGACUGAGACACAGCCCAGACUCCUACGGGAGGCAGCAGUGGGGAAUUUUCCGCAAUGGGCGAAAGCCUGACGGAGCAAUACCGCGUGAGGGAGGAAGGCUCUUGGGUUGUAAACCUCUUUUCUCAGGGAAGAAAAAAAUGACGGUACCUGAGGAAUAAGCAUCGGCUAACUCCGUGCCAGCAGCCGCGGUAAUACGGAGGAUGCAAGCGUUAUCCGGAAUGAUUGGGCGUAAAGGGUCCGCAGGUGGCAUUGUAUGUCUGCUGUUAAAGAGUCUGGCUCAACCAGAUCAAAGCAGUGGAAACUACAAAGCUAGAGUCUGGUCGGGGCAGAGGGAAUUCCUGGUGUAGCGGUGAAAUGCGUAGAUAUCAGGAAGAACACCGGUGGCGAAGGCGCUCUGCUAGGCCAAAACUGACACUGAGGGACGAAAGCUAGGGGAGCGAAUGGGAUAAGAUACCCCAGUAGUC